GGCCCUUUGCAAGCGUUUUUCAAAAACGCUUUGUUUGACUUUUAAUCAAGGUGUCCGGGGUUCGAAUCCCCGAUGGAUCACCA
Molecule: transfer RNA, 83 nt
Filed under: Siphoviridae sp. ct0uL16
Lineage: Duplodnaviria; Heunggongvirae; Uroviricota; Caudoviricetes
Description: tRNA-Ser
Source: RNAcentral